GACGAACGCUGGCGGCGUGCUUAACACAUGCAAGCCGAACGGAAAGGCCCUGGUUUUGUGGGGUGCUCGAGUGGCGAACGGGUGAGUAACACGGGUGUAACCCGCCCUUGAUUUUGGGAUAACUUCAGGAAACUGGGGCUAAUACCGGAUAGGAGCUCCUGCGGCACGGUGGGGUUGGAAAGUUUCGGCGGUUGGGGAUGGACGCGCUGCUACCCAGCUUGUUGUUGGGGGAGUGGCUUACCAAGGCUUUGAGGGGUAGCCGGCCUGAGAGGGUGACCGGCCACAUUGCUGCUGAGGUACGGCCCCGACCCCUACGGGAGGCAGCAGGAGCGAAUAUUACACACAGGGCGGGGGCACGAUGCAGCACCGCGGCGGUCGGGAUGAUGACCUUCGCGUUGUAAACCGCUUUGGCCUGUAACGAGUCGUGAGUGACGGUAGUGUGUAAGGAGGCACCGGGUAACUACGUG
RNAcentral lists this ribosomal RNA (467 nucleotides) under uncultured bacterium. RNAcentral describes it as "partial 16S ribosomal RNA". It matches the Rfam family "Bacterial small subunit ribosomal RNA", at positions 28 to 507 of the family's 1533-position model. The record is from RNAcentral.